Molecule: ribosomal RNA, 521 nt
Filed under: uncultured archaeon
Lineage: Archaea
Description: bacterial SSU rRNA
Rfam family: Archaeal small subunit ribosomal RNA
Source: RNAcentral
CGGCCCGAGUGGUGAUCGUGAUUAUUGGGUCUAAAGGGCCCGUAGCCGGUUUGGUCAGUCCUCCGGGAAAUCUGAUAGCUCGACUAUUAGGCUUUCGGGGGAUACUGCCAGACUUGGAACCGGGAGAGGUAAGAGGUACUACAGGGGUAGGAGUGAAAUCUUGUAAUCCCUGUGGGACCACCUGUGGCGAAGGCGUCUUACCAGAACGGGUUCGACGGUGAGGGACGAAAGCGUGGGGGCACGAACCGGAUUAGAUACCCGGGUAGUCCCAGCCGUAAACGAUGCUCGCUAGGUGUCAGGCAUGGCGCGACCGUGUCUGGUGCCGCAGGGAAGCCGUGAAGCGAGCCACCUGGGAAGUACGGCCGCAAGGCUGAAACUUAAAGGAAUUGGGCGGGGGAGCACAACAACGGGUGGAACGCCUGCGGUUUAAUUGGACUCAACGCCGGACAACUCACCGGGGCGACAGCAAUAUGUAGGCCAAGCUGAAGACUUUGCCUGAAUCGCUGAGGGGAGGUGCAUGG